Molecule: ribosomal RNA, 253 nt
Filed under: uncultured prokaryote
Description: partial 16S ribosomal RNA
Rfam family: Bacterial small subunit ribosomal RNA
Source: RNAcentral
UACAGAGGUCUCAAGCGUUGUUCGGAUUCAUUGGGCGUAAAGGGUGCGUAGGUGGCGCGCUAAGUCGGGUGUGAAAUUUCGGAGCUUAACUCCGAAACUGCACUCGAUACUGGCGUGCUUGAGGGCUGGAGAGGAGACUGGAAUUCAUGGUGUAGCAGUGAAAUGCGUAGAGAUCAGGAGGAAGGCCAGUGGCGAAGGCGGGUCUCUGGACAGUUCCUGACACUGAGGCACGAAGGCCAGGGGAGCAAACGGG